This 1348-nucleotide long non-coding RNA is filed under the name Salvator merianae (Argentine black and white tegu). RNAcentral describes it as "lncRNA (ENSSMRG00000012474.1)". Lineage: Eukaryota; Metazoa; Chordata; Lepidosauria; Squamata; Teiidae. The record is from RNAcentral.
AUGGUCUUGAUUAAGUGUAUUUUAUCCCAUUCCUGUUGUUGCCAUUGGGUCUAUUACUCCAAUAUAUCAGCCUUAGCUUAUGCUGCAAAGGACUUUUCAAUCCUUGGACAUAUUUGGGGGAGGGUACCUGGUUCUAAUAAGGGCCAAGUCAGACUUACCAGGUCAUCUCACAAGAUCGAGAUGGAAUCAGCACACAGUCGCCACACUAUGGAAACAGGAACACAUUCAGUUGCGCACUGUGUGCAUAGAAUUUAUACCAUUUCUGCAUGCUCAAGCCACACAACCUUUUGUAUCGUCAGUUUGGUGAUACAAAGAGAUGAUCCAGCUUGCGCCGGACCUUUUAGGUGACACGCUGCUGUGGUAAACCUGACUAGGUUCUAAAAGUAAACCAUGGGAACGCUGAAUACAUGCUGUGGGCUUCUAAAUGGUAACAUUUUGUAUGCUAAUGAUUUUAGUCAUUUUGGAGUAUUUCAUGGGAGAGGAAAGUACCAAGUUUUGCUUCAGAGAAGAGAUCUCUGUAUUUAAGAUCAGUCACAGGACAGAGGUCUGCAGGAUAUGUUUGAUUUGCCCAAUAAUCCUCAUCAUUAUUUAUCAUCAUUGACUGCCUUUUAUCUUUCUUGUAUUUGCUGUAAACUCCUAAACUGAUUCCCCCUUUCUCAACUAUUUCCCUUUCCUUACGGUUAGUUUCCCACCAAAUGCUCCUCAAGUUCUUUCCUAUGCUUCCCCGUUACCUGUUCUGCCACCACCUGUUCUGCCACUUAUUCUAUACCUCAUGAAGCUUGUGUUCCUUUACUUUUAACAAUCUCUAAACUGUUUAAAAAUUACCUUUUCACGGGCGUUUGUCUGAUUUUUCUCCCACUGCCUUUGGUGUAGAACCAACUUUGUAAUUUUCCUUAUCUUGUUCCCCUUACUUUCCUCUCUUAUGUCUACCUCAGAUUGUAAGCCUACAAGCGAAGAACUUCUUUGCACCAGUACUAGUUGAUGUAGGAAUCUAGUGUGACNAAUCAUGUGGAUUCAAGUUUCCUCUCCCUACUGUAUGAACUUCUCUGUUUAAAGGGGGUCAGAACAGGGAGUAAAGUGAUGAUAAAUUAUUGCAAACUCUUUAGCUGCUGCCAUCUGUAAUGGCCCCAAUGGAAAGAAUCCUGCAUCUUUCUAAAGCCCACUAUAGCCAUAGAGGAGCUUGAUCCCAUGAUGUGAAAUUAUUUCCUACAACAAUAAUAAUAUAUUAAAAUGGAAAUAAGCAAACAUGUAUACAUGGAAACCACACUCGUGCUGCAUAGCCAUGCUAACUCAUUUGAGCCUUUCAGCUCUCUAUUUUCUACCGUUUUUGUGGGAAGAAGAAAUGUCC